RNAcentral lists this ribosomal RNA (440 nucleotides) under uncultured bacterium. RNAcentral's name for it is "partial 16S ribosomal RNA". It matches the Rfam family "Bacterial small subunit ribosomal RNA", at positions 338 to 795 of the family's 1533-position model. The record is from RNAcentral.
CCUACGGGAGGCAGCAGUCGGGAAUAUUGCGCAAUGGAGGAAACUCUGACGCAGGGACGCCGCGUGCAGGAAGAAGGUUUUCGGAUUGUAAACUGCUUUAGACAGGGAAGAAAAAAGACAGUACCUGUAGAAUAAGCUCCGGCUAACUACGUGCCAGCAGCCGCGGUAAUAAGUAGGGAGCAAGCGUUAUCCGUAUUUAGUGGGUGUAAAGGGUGCGUAGACGGAGAAGCAAGUUAGUUGGGAAAUCCCUCGGCUUAACUGAGGAACUGCAACGAAAACUACUUCCCUUGGGUACUGGAGAGGAAAGUGGAAGUCCUGGUGUGGCGGUGAAAUGGGUAGAUAUUAGGAGGAACACCAGUGGCGAAGGCGACUUUCUGGACAGUAACUGACGUUGAGGCACGAAAGUGUGGGGAGCAAACAGGCUUCGCUACCCCGUAGUC